GUUAUAGGGUCAAGCGAACAAGUGCAUGUGGUGGAUGCCUUGGCGAUCACAGGCGAUGAAGGACGCGGUAGCCUGCGAAAAGCUACGGGGAGCUGGCAAACGAGCUUUGAUCCGUAGAUGUCCGAAUGGGGAAACCCACUCCUUAUGGAGUAUCCAUGGCUGAAUACAUAGGCCAUGUGAAGCGAACGCGGUGAACUGAAACAUCUAAGUAACCGCAGGAAAAGAAAUCAACCGAGAUUCCCAAAGUAGUGGCGAGCGAAAUGGGAUGAGCCUUGCACUCUUUAUUUGUAUUGUUAGCCGAACGC
RNAcentral lists this ribosomal RNA (305 nucleotides) under Burkholderia anthina. RNAcentral's name for it is "partial 23S ribosomal RNA". It matches the Rfam family "Bacterial large subunit ribosomal RNA", at positions 1 to 308 of the family's 2925-position model. Lineage: Bacteria; Pseudomonadati; Pseudomonadota; Betaproteobacteria; Burkholderiales; Burkholderiaceae. The record is from RNAcentral.